CCGGAAUUCUGCCAGAAAACUAAUGCCAAAACUGGUUCGGUGGGCUCGUCGAAACUUUUAUGGAGUUAGAAAAAUAAGUGGAAGAUCGCAAGGUUCCGGAAAAGUUGUGAAUGAAACUGAAAAAAGUUUGUUCCGAAGAAACCCCCGGCCCCCAAGGGGCCAUUCACAUUCCAGGAAAG
Long non-coding RNA from Paramacrobiotus metropolitanus, 179 nucleotides. RefSeq lists it as uncharacterized. The transcript is spliced from 3 exons. The record is from RefSeq and is a predicted model, not a curated record. Lineage: Eukaryota; Metazoa; Tardigrada; Eutardigrada; Parachela; Macrobiotidae.